Molecule: ribosomal RNA, 561 nt
Filed under: uncultured bacterium
Lineage: Bacteria
Description: bacterial SSU rRNA
Rfam family: Bacterial small subunit ribosomal RNA
Source: RNAcentral
CCUACGGGAGGCAGCAGUAGGGAAUCUUGCGCAAUGGGCGAAAGCCUGACGCAGCCAUGCCGCGUGAAUGAUGAAGGUCUUAGGAUUGUAAAAUUCUUUCACCGGGGAAGAUAAUGACGGUACCCGGAGAAGAAGCCCCGGCUAACUUCGUGCCGGCAGCCGCGGUAAUACGAAGGGGGCUAGCGUUGCUCGGAAUUACUGGGCGUAAAGGGCGCGUAGGCGGAUAGUUUAGUCAGAGGUGAAAGCCCAGGGCUCAACCUUGGAACUGCCUUUGAUACUGGCUAUCUUGAGUUCGGGAGAGGUGAGUGGAAUGCCGAGUGUAGAGGUGAAAUUCGUAGAUAUUCGGCGGAACACCAGUGGCGAAGGCGACUCACUGGCCCGAUACUGACGCUGAGGCGCGAAAGCGUGGGGAGCAAACAGGAUUAGAUACCCUGGUAGUCCACGCUGUAAACGAUGAGUGCUAGUUGUCGGCAUGCAUGCAUGUCGGUGACGCAGCUAACGCAUUAAGCACUCCGCCUGGGGAGUACGGUCGCAAGAAUUAAAACUCAAAGGAAUUGACGG